RNAcentral lists this ribosomal RNA (473 nucleotides) under Centruroides griseus. Its description in RNAcentral is "partial 16S ribosomal RNA". It matches the Rfam family "Archaeal large subunit ribosomal RNA", at positions 1908 to 2669 of the family's 2987-position model. Lineage: Eukaryota; Metazoa; Arthropoda; Arachnida; Scorpiones; Buthidae. The record is from RNAcentral.
AUUUUUUAGGAAUAAUUAAAAAUGGUUUCUGCUCAAUGUAGUAUAAAUGGCCGCAGUAUAUUGACUGUGCAAAGGUAGCAUAAUAAUUAGUCUUAUAAUUGAAGACUGGAAUGAAAGAAUAAACUGGAAAAGCCCUUUUCUAUUUUUUUAUUCAAAUUUACCUUCUAGUAAAAAGGCUAGAAUACCUCUUUUAGACAAGAAGACCCUGUAAAGCUUUACAUAGAAUAAUUUAAUAAAUUAAAAAUAUGUUUUACUGGGGCGGUAAAAAGAAAAACACUUUUAAAUCUAUAAAAAUGAUAUAAUUUUAAUACCCAAAAUUUUUGAAAAUUAAAUAAGCUACUUCAGGGAUAACAGCGUAAUAUAUUUUAAAAGCUCAAAUUGACAAAUAUGUUUGCGACCUCGAUGUUGGAUUAGUUUCCCUUUGCCAUGCAAGAGUAGUAAUAGGAGGUCUGUUCGACCUUUAAAAAACUCCA